Molecule: ribosomal RNA, 464 nt
Filed under: uncultured bacterium
Lineage: Bacteria
Description: partial 16S ribosomal RNA
Rfam family: Bacterial small subunit ribosomal RNA
Source: RNAcentral
GACGAACGCUGGCGGCGUGCUUAACACAUGCAAGUCGAACGGAAAGGCCCUGCUUGCAGGGUACUCGAGUGGCGAACGGGUGAGUAACACGUGGGUGAUCUGCCCUGCACUUCGGGAUAAGCCUGGGAAACUGGGUCUAAUACCGGAUAGGAGCCAUUUUUAGUGUGAUGGUUGGAAAGUUUUUUCGGUGUAGGAUGAGCUCGCGGCCUAUCAGCUUGUUGGUGGGGUAAUGGCCUACCAAGGCGGCGACGGGUAGCCGGCCUGAGAGGGUGGACGGCCACAUUGGGACUGAGAUACGGCCCAGACUCCUACGGGAGGCAGCAGUGGGGAAUAUUGCACAAUGGGCGCAAGCCCGAUGCAGCGACGCCGCGUGGGGGAUGACGGCCUUCGGGUUGUAAACUCCUUUCGCUAGGGACGAAGCUUUUGUGACGGUACCUAGAUAAGAAGCACCGGCUAACUACGUG